This is a long non-coding RNA of Hypomesus transpacificus, 954 nucleotides long. RefSeq lists it as uncharacterized. The transcript has 6 exons. The record is from RefSeq and is a predicted model, not a curated record. NCBI's taxonomy places the organism in Eukaryota, Metazoa, Chordata, Actinopteri, Osmeriformes, Osmeridae.
CAGCCAAAACACCAAGCACGGGGAAAGAAAUGUGUUAGAGUGAUACCGUCAUAGUAGUUCCCAGGGCGGGGAAUUAUCCUCAUUUGGGGUAUAAGACUGGGAUUCUGGGGCUUGUGUUUUGUCUUUUCUCCUGUUUUGUGUUGUGGACACUAGGGAUGGGCGUGGUUAAUCGAAUCCGGAUAUCCUAAAACUGGCAAAGUGAAUGCAGAAGCAUUUCAGAUAAGUUUUCUGCAAUUUGUGUACUGCAACUAUGAAGAGAACCAACUUCUUGGAAAGGAGCCAUUAGUUUGUCCAGCCUGUAGCCCUGAAAUGGUGGCUGGUUCUGUGGAUGGCAACGGAAAGUUGUACAGGUUCCAGAAAACAAACCAGAGUGAAGAGCCAGGGUUCUUCGAUUGAGUGUUUUUAGCCCGAGACUCUGAGGUGUCCAGUUUUGUUGAGGAGGUCCGGGGAACUGUCAAGAGUACUGCAGGAAAAGCGGUGUUUGGUGACUCCCAAUGGAAUGCAGGAAGAGAAACUUCAAAGCGGGCCAACAAGUUGGAUGAAGAAGGUCUCAAAGCUCUGAAUAUGUAUAGAGGAGAAAUCUUUGCAUAUCCAAUGUUUCUCCAAAAAGUGUUCCAGAGUGCUACAUUUUUGGCCAUGGAUGUGACCUGCCGAUAUGUGCCAUACUUGACAAAAGUGUCAGAGGCCCUGACUCAACUUCAACCCCUUCAGGAAAUGAGGCAUUGCUCAUCUGUGAUGCAUGCCAAAGCCCACAAUACAAAAUGCGAGAUUCUGUGGACUGCAAGGAACCAGGAGGGCGCCGGCACCAUUUGUAACAGACGUGGUAUUGCAAGUUCCGUCAGAGGUAUACGGGCCAUUGUCCGCUCCGAUCGGGAGUCAAACUCACCACCUCUGACUUCCCAAGCGCCACCACUACCAACUACGGCAACGAAAAGCUAGCAAUUCGUUGACGCG